Molecule: small RNA, 127 nt
Filed under: Marmota monax (woodchuck)
Lineage: Eukaryota; Metazoa; Chordata; Mammalia; Rodentia; Sciuridae
Source: RNAcentral
GCUGGGCACAAUGGCACAUGCCUGUAAUCCCAGCAGCUCAGGAGUCUGAGGCAGGAGGAUUGUAAGUUCAAAGGCAGCCUCAGCAACUUAAUGAGGCCCUAAGCAAUCCAGUAAGACCCUGUCUCUA